Molecule: unclassified non-coding RNA, 236 nt
Filed under: Hevea brasiliensis (rubber tree)
Lineage: Eukaryota; Viridiplantae; Streptophyta; Magnoliopsida; Malpighiales; Euphorbiaceae
Source: RNAcentral
AAAUAACCUAGUGAAGAUACUUGUUUGUAGUGCCAUUGAUCAUCAUGGGAAUGAUUUUAAUAACUUUGGUCAUAAUGUUAUUGAAAUGCAUUCAAUGUCUAAUGUCAACAAAACAAAAGAAAACUAAUUAAAUUUCAAGAAAAAAAUAACAAUAAUCAUGCAAACAUUACUAUAUCCAUAAAAAGCUGCCUCAUAAGUAUGGACAGUUUUGUUUUUUACAAAAAUAAAAAUAAAAA